RNA transcript from Sapajus apella (tufted capuchin), 1067 nucleotides. It is a transcript of the gene named Y-box-binding protein 1 pseudogene, with no coding region annotated. The transcript has a single exon. The record is from RefSeq and is a predicted model, not a curated record. NCBI's taxonomy places the organism in Eukaryota, Metazoa, Chordata, Mammalia, Primates, Cebidae.
UAGGAGAUGGAGAGACUGUGGAGUUUGAUGUUGAAGGAGAAAAGGGUGUGGAGGCAGCAAAUGUUACAGGUCCUGGUGGCAUUCCAGUUCAAGGCAGUAAAUAUGCAGCAGACAGUAACCAUUAUAGACGCUAUCCACAUCGUAGGGGUCCUCCAGGCAAUCACCAGCAAAAUUACCAGAAUAGUGAGAGUGGGGAAAAGAACAAGGGGGUCAGAGAGUGCUCCCGAAGGCCAUGCCCAACAAUGCCGGCCCUACUGCAGGCAAAGGUUCCCACCUUACUACAUGCGGAGACCCUAUGGGCGUCGACCACAAUAUUCCAACCCUCCUGUGCAUGGAGAAGUGAUGGAGGGUGCUGACAACCAGGGUGCAGGAGAGCAAGGUAGACCAGUGAGGCAGAAUAUGUAUGGGGGGUAUAGACCACGAUUCCGCAGGGGCCCUCCUCGCCAAAGACAGCCUAGAGAGGACGGCAAUGAAGAGGAUAAAGAAAAUCAAGGAGAUGAGACCCCAGGUCAGCAGCCACCUCAACAUCGGUACCGUUGCAACUUCAAUUACCGACGCAGACGCCCAGAAAACUCUAAACCACAAGAUAGCAAAGAGACAAAAGCAGCCGAUCCACCAGCUGAGAAUUCGUCUGCUCGUGAGGCUGAGCAGGGCGGGGCUGAGUAAAUGCCGGCUUACCAUCUCUACCAUCAUCCGGUUUAUUCAUCCAACAAGAAGAAAUAAGAAAUUCCAGCAAUGAGAAAUGAACAAAAGAUUGGAGCUGAAGACCUUAAGUGCUUGCUUUUGCCCGUUGACCAGAUAAAUAGAACUAUCUGCAUUAUCUAUGCAGCAUGGGGUUUUUAUUAUUUUUACUUAAAGAUGUCUCUUUUUGGUAAUAACAAACGUGUUUUUCAAAAAAGCCUGGUUUUUCUCAAUACGCCUUUAAAGGUUUUUAAAUUGUUUCAUAUCUGGUCAAGUUGAGAUUUUUAAGAACUUCAUUUUUAAUUUGUAAUAAAAGUUUACAACUUGAUUUUUUCAAAAAAGUCAACAAACUGCAAGCACCUGUUAAUAAAGGUCUUAAAUAAUUG